This 497-nucleotide ribosomal RNA is filed under the name uncultured bacterium. RNAcentral describes it as "partial 16S ribosomal RNA". It matches the Rfam family "Bacterial small subunit ribosomal RNA", at positions 28 to 507 of the family's 1533-position model. The record is from RNAcentral.
GAUGAACGCUGGCGGCGUGCCUAAUACAUGCAAGUCGAGCGAACGGACGAGAAGCUUGCUUCUCUGAUGUUAGCGGCGGACGGGAGAGUAACACGUGGAUAACCUACCUAUAAGACUGGGAUAACUUCGGGAAACCGGAGCUAAUACCGGAUAAUAUUUUGAACCGCAUGGUUCAAAAGUGAAAAACGGUCUUGCUGUCACUUAUAGAUGGAUCCGCGCUGCAUUAGCUAGUUGGUAAGGUAACGGCUUACCAAGGCAACGAUGCAUAGCCGACCUGAGAGGGUGAUCGGCCACACUGGAACUGAGACACGGUCCAGACUCCUACGGGAGGCAGCAGUAGGGAAUCUUCCGCAAUGGGCGAAAGCCUGACGGAGCAACGCCGCGUGAGUGAUGAAGGUCUUCGGAUCGUAAAACUCUGUUAUUAGGGAAGAACAUAUGUGUAAGUAACUGUGCACAUCUUGACGGUACCUAAUCAGAAAGCCACGGCUAACUACGUG